RNAcentral lists this long non-coding RNA (3779 nucleotides) under Brassica napus (rape). RNAcentral's name for it is "long non-coding RNA (BNAP_LNC007531)". Lineage: Eukaryota; Viridiplantae; Streptophyta; Magnoliopsida; Brassicales; Brassicaceae. The record is from RNAcentral.
UCAGUGCUAACUGCAGCAACGAGUUGAGUAACCAAACAAGUUGUUGCCGCGCAAUGGAGAGUUAUGUGUCUCAUCUGCAAAAGCAAUCACUUAUAACUAAUUUGCAAGCUUUGGACUGCGCAACCUCUCUUGGGACAAAGCUGCAGAAGCUAAACAUCACUAAGAAUGUCUUCACUGCUUGUCAUAUAAGUCUCAAAGACUUCUCUCUUCAAGGUUCUCUACUUUGCACUUUCAACAUCUAUUUUCCUUUUCAAUAUAAAUCCUUAACCUGUUUUCUUCAUCUUUCUGGUUCUUGAUGAUGCAUUGUGGUGUUGGAUUCAAACAGUUGGAAACCAAGGUGUGAAUUAAACUUUUUUUUAUAUUCAUCGUGUUAGAAACCUUAAAACCAUUUUUAUUAACUCUUAAGACUUUGUUCUUUGUAUUUUUGGUUUAAAGAAUCUGGUUGUCUGUUACCAAGCUUACCAUCCGAUGCAAUAUUCGAUCAAGACACGGGAAUAAGCUUCACUUGUGAUCUGAAUGACAACAUUCCUGCCCCAUGGCCUUCUUCAUCUCAGUCCUCAGCCUCUACCUGUAAAAAGAGUGCGUUGUUAUUAUCGUAUCUAGCUUCUUGAUUUUAGACGUAUACAUCUCUUUUGUGCUUUAACUUAUAUCCACUUUUGUCUUUUCUUUUGCAGCUGUUAGAAUCCCUGCUCUUCCUGCUGCAGCCUCCUCGCAACCCAGUAAGUUUUUCCUGUCUAACGUUACACUAGUAAUAGGCCUAGCUCUCACCAAAAGAUAGCUCAAGAGUUAAGAUUGGUAUAUUUUCUUUUUGAUCUCUCAGGUCUCUACAAUGAGGGAGUGAAACGUUUGGUGAUCUUUGUAUUGUCUAUGGUUCUUGUGAUGCUUCUGUCAUGAUACCAGAACUAAACUGGGUUCACUCUUAUCUCUUACCGGUUUACUAGUAAUAGCUGUGGUUUUUGUGAUCAAACCGGUACAGUCAGCUGUCGGAAGUAGUAUGUUGACAUAACCGGUUCAAGUGCUUGAGUUGUUUGAGGUAUAAGUUUCGGAAAGUCUUUUAUCUUUAUUGAUUCAUGAUUCUUGGAAACCUUUUUAAUGUAAAGAAAAAGGUCUUGUAGGAUUUAUUUUCUGUAAGCUUAUAUAUAUAUAUAAUAUGUUUACUUUGCAAUUUUUAUAUAUUUAUAGACAUUUGAUUUCGGAAAUUAAAAAUGCUACUUGGUUAAUUUGUAUGCAAAAUUUAAAAUUUCUUCUUUUUAUUUCAUAUGGACCCGAUUCUAGUUGGUAAAUUUGUCAAAAUCAGGCAUGCAUAUAAGCUUUGGGAUGGUGGAAAGAAGUGAUGGCUCUAUGAAUUUUGAUCAGGUUUUGCUUAUUUGACCUCCCAUGUGAUGUUUAAACAGCCAUUUUUGCAUGCCACAGAUUGUGUGACCAAAUGUUAUUCGUUUCAUAUCAUAGGUUUUUAGUUGCUAAUCUUUUUAAGGAUUUAAAAUCAUGACUUGUGACAAGUCGCGUAAAUCAAAACAAACAAUAACAUGCGACUUAUGAUCUAAUCGUGCAAUCAAUCCUGUGAUAGCAAAACACAUAGCAACUUGUGAUUUGUGAUAUAUGACGUUCGACUGUAUCGCAAGUCGCAGUUGCAGAUUGUUGCGACAUGAAAACAAAUAGGACCAACAUAUUCAUGCUAUUUUCGCAUGUGAUGAUAGUUUUUUUUUUUUGCUAAAUUGUAAAUAUCAUAUAAAUGAAAGAAAUAUUUUACACAAACAAAAUCUUAAGUUUAACACAUCUUGGUAAAAAGAAAGAAAAAAACAAGAUGGGUCAUUGACAUCCAAAGUUCAGGAUAACUUAGACAUUUAUCGCAACCACAUAACCAUAAGUGAACUGAAGAGCUUGUUUGACCUCUUAGAGGAGAUAAUGUUCUCCAUCUCCCUGUCAAUGGCUCUGAAUACAUUAGUAGGUGGCAUGGAAGUGUUGUUAUGGAUCAGGUUGUUUCUCUGUUCCCAAAUGUGAAAGACGACCACUUGGGAGGCGAGUUUCCUGAGCAGAAAAAGCCUCCUUGAUUGUGGCGCUCUGAUCCAGGAUAGUAGCUCCGCCCAGUUAGCAAACAUCUGCAAAGGAGGGUUGCAUCUGGUGAAGACAUGAGCCCAGACGUUAUUGGUGUACUGACAGGAGAGGAACAGGUGAUCCCUUGUUUCCGGAAAGUUUGCGCAAAAGGGACAAGACACUGGUAUCGAUAGACCCCAAGAUACCAGUCGAGCUCUUGUCGCUAGUCUAUCAUAGUUCGCUAUCCACAUCGAGAUAGCGUGCUUCGGAACAGCCCCUUUGAACCAAACAAUAUCAUGCCAAGGUUGAGCUGCUUGUCUUGGCCGCAAGACCUCCCAAGUAGCCUGAGAAUUAAAAACUUUCAAAGGGUAAUUAGCAGCUUUCCAUUCAAAAACAUCAUCAACAUCAGGUAAUGGAAGAGUAAUAGUAGUGAGGUAAGAGUGAAGAUCCACUUCCUGAUGAGAUCUAGGGUGUGGUAAAGACCAAGCUGAACCAGAUAUCGCAUCCGCCACCAUUGCCUCUUUCCUUACACGAAGCGCUCGCGGUCCACCAAUGCUUAUGUGGUUGAUCAGUUGGCCAAAAGGAGAGGUUUAUAGAUGCUGUAAUGCUUCAACUUGUUGUGUGAUGGUUUGGUUUGGGUAUAGGUUCAUCUGAGGAGUUCUUGCCUCAGAUAUCACCAGACACGUCUCCUCAACCAUUCCUUCCCUUCAUUGCUCCUUCUCCUAUGGCUCCUUACAUCAACACCACCAUCCCCAAGCUCUCUGGUCUCUUCUUGUCUUAACGUUUCUCCAUUGUGAUUGCCUUUGGAUGCUAACUCUUUUUUGGUGUCUUUCAGGGCUAUGCUCGCUUAAUUUCACUGCUUCCGAGAGUUUGAUUCAGACAACAUCACACAACUGCUGGACUGUCUUUGCUCCAUUAUUAGCCAAUGUCAUGUGUUGUCCUCAGCUAGACGCUGCUCUCACCAUCAUCCUCGGCAAAGCGAGCAAAGAAACUGGUCAGCUUGCCUUAAACAGAACUCAGUCUAAGCACUGUCUCUCGGAUUUAGAGCAGAUCUUGGUAGGCAAAGGCGCUUCUAGCAAGCUUGGGAGUAUAUGUUCCCUUCACUCGUCGAAUCUCACAGCUUCUUCCUGCCCUGUGACCGACGUGGAUCAGUUCGAAAGCGCGGUGGAUACGUCUAAGCUUCUUUUGGCUUGUGAGAAAGUUGAUCCUGUCAAGGAGUGUUGCGAACAGGCUUGCCAAAACGCCAUACUCGACGCAGCUACUAAUAUAACUCUCAAUGCCUCUGAGCCUUUGAUGGAUAACUCGGUUCGGAUCAGUGAUUGUAAGAACAUAGUGCACCGUUGGCUCGCUACUAAACUUGACCCUUCUCAGGCUAAGGAAACUCUCAGAGGUUUAGCAAACUGCAAACUCAAUAGAGGUAAAAGUAUAACCAAAUCAGGGUUCAACAUUUUAAAUUAUGAUUUGUUAACAUGUUUUUUGUGUGUGUGUGUUGGUUUCAGUUUGUCCUCUUGUGUUUCCACACAUGAGACACAUCAGUGCUAACUGCAGCAACGAGUUGAGUAACCAAACAAGUUGUUGCCGCGCAAUGGAGAGUUAUGUGUCUCAUCUGCAAAAGCAAUCACUUAUAACUAAUUUGCAAGCUUUGGACUGCGCAACCUCUCUUGGGACAAAGCUGCAGAAGCUAAACAUCACUAAGAAUGUCUUCACUGCUUGUCAUAUAAGUCUCAAAGACUUCUCUCUUCAAG